Molecule: long non-coding RNA, 782 nt
Filed under: Arabidopsis thaliana (thale cress)
Lineage: Eukaryota; Viridiplantae; Streptophyta; Magnoliopsida; Brassicales; Brassicaceae
Description: ncRNA (AT4G04055)
Source: RNAcentral
CGAUUGAAAAUAGUCACAGUGACUGUUACACCAAAACACUCGAUUACAGAGUAAAGAUUUUGGUUGCAAUUGGCGUUUUGUGAUCACAUUCUCCAUCUUCUUCUUCUUCUUUGAGAUAAACAAAGAGAUUUGUUUACUCUCUAUCUCAGGAUUUCUUCACACAUCUGCUCUUACGAGACCAUCAAAAGACGGUUUCGAUUUUAGGGUUUUUGUUUUCCCCAAAUCAGAUGAUCUAAACAAGGAGAUUGUUCUUCGUCCCUAAGAAACAUGGAAUUGGAACACAGCUUGGAGGCGGCGAAAGAGAGCAAUUAGCUCCGGCGAAGCUCUGCAAUCCCAAAGCUCCGAUCUGUUUCAUCAAAAUCUCUGGUUCAGGUCCAAUUCUAUUAGUAGCCGAUACAAUCAGAUCAACAUCUUUUAUCAUCUUCAAAACAGGUCGUCUUGUAUCGUCGGAGCUAAUGUUUUCCUUGUUCUUAUUAAACGCGCUCAAUGUCUCACCGCGUUUGAGGAUCUUGACUUGUUCCAUUACAAGAUUUGGAUUCGCCGCCGGAGAUUUAACAACCGUAGGGCUUUGCUUGCGUCGGCGAGGAGCUGUUGAAGAGUUGCGGCAAAGACGAGGCUUAGGGUUACGGUGGAUUAGGGUUUGGUGCUCGAAUCGAUGGUUUUGAGAAGAGUAAGACAUCGCAGUGGCCAUUGCUUUUAGCUUUUUGAUUAGAGAGAGGGAAUGUGAGAUUUUUUUUAAGUCUCAAGGAGUUCUUAUAUAAUAGAGAGACCCGUGAGGCCGU